Molecule: transfer RNA, 66 nt
Filed under: Astictopterus jama
Lineage: Eukaryota; Metazoa; Arthropoda; Insecta; Lepidoptera; Hesperiidae
Description: tRNA-Asn
Source: RNAcentral
UUAAUUGAAACCAAAUAGAGGUAUAUUACUGUUAAUGAUAUCAUUGAAUUUACAAUUCCAAUUAAA